RNAcentral lists this unclassified non-coding RNA (418 nucleotides) under soil metagenome. Its description in RNAcentral is "partial contains 5.8S ribosomal RNA, internal transcribed spacer 2, and large subunit ribosomal RNA". The stretch from base 1 to 120 matches the Rfam family "5.8S ribosomal RNA", at positions 35 to 154 of the family's 154-position model. The record is from RNAcentral.
GAUGAAGAACGUAGCGAAAUGCGAUAAGUAAUGUGAAUUGCAGAAUUCAGUGAAUCAUCGAAUCUUUGAACGCAUCUUGCGCUCCUUGGUAUUCCUUGGAGCAUGCCUGUUUGAGUAUCAUGAGCAAAUCUCAAAGUCAAUUCCUUUUGUUGAUUCAAUUGGUUUUGCUUUGGACUUGGAGGCCUUGCAGAUUUCACAGUCUGCUCCUCUUAAAUGCAUUAGCUGGAUCUCAGUAAUUAUGCUUGGUUCCACUCGGCGUGAUAAGUAUCACUCGCUGAGGACACUGUUAAAAAGGUGGCCAGGAAAAUACUGAUUGAACCGCUUCUAACGGUCUAUUAAGUUAGACAAUUUCCCUUAAGUUUGAUCUCAAAUCAGGUAGGACUACCCGCUGAACUUAAGCAUAUCAAUAAGCGGAGGA